RNAcentral lists this ribosomal RNA (2920 nucleotides) under Lactiplantibacillus plantarum DOMLa. RNAcentral's name for it is "bacterial LSU rRNA". It matches the Rfam family "Bacterial large subunit ribosomal RNA". Lineage: Bacteria; Bacillati; Bacillota; Bacilli; Lactobacillales; Lactobacillaceae. The record is from RNAcentral.
UUAAGUUAACAAGGGCGCAUGGUGAAUGCCUUGGCACUAGGAGCCGAUGAAGGACGGGACUAACACCGAUAUGCUUCGGGGAGCUGUACGUAAGCUAUGAUCCGGAGAUUUCCGAAUGGGGCAACCCAGCAGUUUUAAUCAACUGUUACCACUAGAUGAAUUCAUAGUCUAGUUGGAGGUAAACGCUGUGAACUGAAACAUCUCAUUAGCAGCAGGAAUAUAAAGAAAUUUCGAUUCCCUAAGUAGCGGCGAGCGAACGGGGAACAGCCCAAACCAAAGUGCUUGCACUUUGGGGUUGUAGGACUGAACAUUUGAGUUACCAAAGAACUUGAUAGUCGAAGGAUUUGGGAAAAUCCGCCAUAGAUGGUGAUAGCCCAGUAGAUUAAAUCAAAUUCUCUCAGUUCAGGAUCCUGAGUACGGCGGAACACGUGAAAUUCCGUCGGAAUCCGGGAGGACCAUCUCCCAAGGCUAAAUACUACCUAGUGACCGAUAGUGAACCAGUACCGUGAGGGAAAGGUGAAAAGCACCCCGGGAGGGGAGUGAAAUAGUUCCUGAAACCAUGUGCCUACAAUAAGUCAGAGCGCGUUAAUGCGUGAUGGCGUGCCUUUUGUAGAAUGAACCGGCGAGUUAUGAUCCCGUGCAAGGUUAAGACUAAAAAGUCGGAGCCGUAGCGAAAGCGAGUCUGAAAUGGGCGUUUUGAGUACGAGGUUAUAGACCCGAAACCAGGUGACCUAUCCAUGUCCAGGUUGAAGGUGCGGUAAAACGCACUGGAGGACCGAACCCGUGUAAGUUGAAAAUUGCUGGGAUGAGGUGUGGAUAGCGGUGAAAUUCCAAACGAACUUGGAGAUAGCUGGUUCUCUCCGAAAUAGCUUUAGGGCUAGCCUCGGAAUUAGGAUCAUGGAGGUAGAGCACUAUUUGGACUAGGGGCCCGUCUUGGGUUACUGAAUUCAGAUAAACUCCGAAUGCCAUUGAUUCAUAUCCGGGAGUCAGACGAUGAGUGAUAAGAUCCACCGUCGAAAGGGGAACAGCCCAGACCAUCAGUUAAGGUCCCUAAAUGUAUGCUAAGUGGAAAAGGAUGUGGAGUUGCAUAGACAACUAGGAUGUUGGCUCAGAAGCAGCCACCAUUUAAAGAGUGCGUAAUAGCUCACUAGUCGAGUGAUCCUGCGCCGAAAAUGUACCGGGGCUAAGCAUACUACCGAAACCAUGGAUGCGACCAUUAGGUCGCGUGAUAGGAGAGCGUUCUAAGGGCGGUGAAGCAAGAUCGUGAGGACUUGUGGAGCGCUUAGAAGUGAGAAUGCCGGUAUGAGUAGCGAAAGAUAGGUGAGAAUCCUAUCCACCGAAUGACUAAGGUUUCCUGGGGAAGGCUCGUCCUCCCAGGGUUAGUCGGGACCUAAGUCGAGGCCGAGAGGCGUAGACGAUGGAUAACAGGUUGAGAUUCCUGUACUAGUUAAGUGCGUUUGAGCAAUGGAGGGACGCAGGAGGCUAAGAUGUGCAUUCUGUUGGAUUAGAAUGUCCAAGCAGUAAGUCUUGUGAAGAGUCAAAUGCUUUUCACUUUAAGGACAAGCUGUGAUGGGGAGCGAAAUUUAGUAGCGAAGCGUCUGAUGUCACACUGCCGAGAAAAGCUUCUAGUGAGUACUUAACUACCCGUACCGCAAACCGACACAGGUAGUCGAGGAGAGAAUCCUAAGGUGAGCGAGUGAACUCUCGUUAAGGAACUCGGCAAAAUGACCCCGUAACUUCGGGAGAAGGGGUGCUGAUCGCAAGAUCAGCCGCAGUGAAUAGGCCCAGGCGACUGUUUAUCAAAAACACAGGUCUCUGCAAAAUCGUAAGAUGACGUAUAGGGGCUGACGCCUGCCCGGUGCUGGAAGGUUAAAAGGAUGGGUUAGCUUCGGCGAAGCUCAGAAUUGAAGCCCCAGUAAACGGCGGCCGUAACUAUAACGGUCCUAAGGUAGCGAAAUUCCUUGUCGGGUAAGUUCCGACCCGCACGAAAGGCGUAACGAUCUGGGCACUGUCUCAACGAGAGACUCGGUGAAAUUAUAUUGUCCGUGAAGAUGCGGACUACCCGCGACAGGACGGAAAGACCCCAUGGAGCUUUACUGUAGCUUGAUAUUGAGUGUUUGUACAGCUUGUACAGGAUAGGUAGGAGCCAUAGAAACCGGAACGCUAGUUUCGGUGGAGGCAUUGGUGGGAUACUACCCUCGCUGUAUGACCACUCUAACCCGCACCACUAAUCGUGGUGGGAGACAGUGUCAGGUGGGCAGUUUGACUGGGGCGGUCGCCUCCUAAAAAGUAACGGAGGCGCCCAAAGGUUCCCUCAGAAUGGUUGGAAAUCAUUCGCAGAGUGUAAAGGCACAAGGGAGCUUGACUGCGAGACAGACAGGUCGAGCAGGGACGAAAGUCGGGCUUAGUGAUCCGGUGGUACCGUAUGGAAGGGCCAUCGCUCAACGGAUAAAAGCUACCCUGGGGAUAACAGGCUUAUCUCCCCCAAGAGUCCACAUCGACGGGGAGGUUUGGCACCUCGAUGUCGGCUCAUCGCAUCCUGGGGCUGUAGUCGGUCCCAAGGGUUGGGCUGUUCGCCCAUUAAAGCGGUACGCGAGCUGGGUUCAGAACGUCGUGAGACAGUUCGGUCCCUAUCCGUCGCGGGCGUAGGAAAUUUGAGAGGACCUGUCCUUAGUACGAGAGGACCGGGAUGGACAUACCUCUGGUGUACCAGUUGUGCCGCCAGGCGCAUCGCUGGGUAGCUACGUAUGGAUGUGAUAAACGCUGAAAGCAUCUAAGUGUGAAACACACCUCGAGAUGAGAUUUCCCAUUCCUUUAUGGAAGUAAGACCCCUGAAAGAUGAUCAGGUAGAUAGGUUAGAAGUGGCAGUGCGGUGACGCAUGAAGCGGACUAAUACUAAUCGGUCGAGGACUUAACCAAG